UACGUAGGGGGCGAGCGUUGUCCGGAUUUAUUGGGCGUAAAGAGCUCGUAGGCGGUUCGUCGCGUCGGCUGUGAAACCCUGAGGCUCAACCUCAGGCCUGCAGUCGAUACGGGCGGACUUGAGUUCGGCAGGGGAGACUGGAAUUCCUGGUGUAGCGGUGAAAUGCGCAGAUAUCAGGAGGAACACCGGUGGCGAAGGCGGGUCUCUGGGCCGAUACUGACGCUGAGGAGCGAAAGCGUGGGGAGCAAAAGGG
Molecule: unclassified non-coding RNA, 253 nt
Filed under: uncultured Frankiales bacterium
Lineage: Bacteria; Bacillati; Actinomycetota; Actinomycetes; Frankiales
Description: contains 16S-23S intergenic spacer region
Rfam family: Bacterial small subunit ribosomal RNA
Source: RNAcentral